GAUGAACGCUGGCGGCGUGCUUAACACAUGCAAGUCGAACGGAAAGGCACAAACUUGUUUGGGUACUCGAGUGGCGAACGGGUGCGUAACACGUGGGUGACCUGCCCUGCACUUCGGGAUAAGCCUACGAAACUGGGUCUACUACAGGAUAGGAUACCUCCUUGGAUGGUGUGCAGGAAAGCUUUUACGGUGUCGGAUGAGGUCGCGGCGGUUCAGCUUGUUGAUGGGGUCGUGGCGUACCCCGACGUCGACGGUGAUCCGUCCUGAGAGAGUGUAGGGCCGCAUCAGAACUGUGAGAGGGGCCAGAGUCCGGCAGGUGGCAGCAGGGGGGAAUAUUGGACAAUGGGCGAACGCGUGAUGCAGGGACGCCUUGUGGGGGAUGAGGGCUUUUGUGUUGUAAGCUCAGUAGGCGAGUGACGCAGCGUUGUUGUGACGGUACCUGGAGAAGAAGCACCGGCUAACUACGUG
This 468-nucleotide ribosomal RNA is filed under the name uncultured bacterium. Its description in RNAcentral is "partial 16S ribosomal RNA". It matches the Rfam family "Bacterial small subunit ribosomal RNA", at positions 28 to 507 of the family's 1533-position model. The record is from RNAcentral.